This 498-nucleotide ribosomal RNA is filed under the name uncultured bacterium. RNAcentral describes it as "bacterial SSU rRNA". It matches the Rfam family "Bacterial small subunit ribosomal RNA", at positions 355 to 869 of the family's 1533-position model. The record is from RNAcentral.
UGGGGAAUCUUGGACAAUGGGGGCAACCCUGAUCCAGCCAUGCCGCGUGAGUGAUGAAGGCCUUAGGGUCGUAAAGCUCUUUCGCCUGUGAAGAUAAUGACGGUAGCAGGUAAAGAAACCCCGGCUAACUCCGUGCCAGCAGCCGCGGUAAUACGGAGGGGGUUAGCGUUGUUCGGAAUUACUGGGCGUAAAGCGCACGUAGGCGGACCAGAAAGUUGGGGGUGAAAUCCCGGGGGCUCAACCCCGGAACUGCCUCCAAAACUAUUGGUCUAGAGUUCGAGAGAGGUGAGUGGAAUUCCAAGUGUAGAGGUGAAAUUCGUAGAUAUUUGGAGGAACACCAGUGGCGAAGGCGGCUCACUGGCUCGAUACUGACGCUGAGGUGCGAAAGUGUGGGGAGCAAACAGGAUUAGAUACCCUGGUAGUCCACACCGUAAAACGAUGAAUGCCAGUCGUCGGGUAGCAUGCUAUUCGGUGACACACCUAACGGAUUAAGCAUUU